This 1113-nucleotide long non-coding RNA is filed under the name Struthio camelus australis. RNAcentral describes it as "lncRNA (ENSSCUG00000014893.1)". The record is from RNAcentral. Lineage: Eukaryota; Metazoa; Chordata; Aves; Struthioniformes; Struthionidae.
AAAAAAAUAAUAAUAAUUCUUUGUUUUAUUUUAAUUUCCCUUUAUGAAAUGGUUUUAUUUUCUAGCUGCUGUUACAGUCAUGAGGACUGAAAAAUUUUGAAUUCCUGUAAUAUGAAAGCUCAAAUUCCCAUCUAAUCACUUGUUUCCCAGAGCCAGACCAACUUUCGGGAGACGAUCAAAGAACUGCUGGAGAGGGACCUGAGUGCCAGACACAGAGGACAAUGCCUGGGUCUAUAUUGCUCUAUCUGAUAAUAACCAGAUUAUAGCUCCACAAUCCCAACAAAGAGACACAAGCAGUAUGAAGAAAGAGGAAGAUUCUUUCUCUGCUGAAGGACUGAAUGCACAAUCAUCUGCAAGCUUUGUAUAGCUGCCUUCCCUAAUCCCAGAGUCAAGCUAGCCUUCUGUUGGAUAGGAACACAUACACUUGAAGGAGUCCAACCCAAAGAGAAAUACCCAAAAGGAUGAACAGGAAUCCACUUUUUCUGAUGUCUCUGUCUGUCAGCAAACUGCAGAAGCACACAGUUUUCCAUCCUCACGGACGAAGAGCAGAAGCCCUCUUCUGCUUCUUUCUGCAUGAUAAUGGAGGACCCAGAUGCAAUUCUUUUUGCUUGAGAGGGAAAAAGAAUUUGCAAUGCCAGCACUAUCCUGGUUCUUUACCCACUACCAAGAAGCUUGAGAAGUAACAGGAGGAUCAGUGUGUCAUCCAUUAUGCUGAAGCAUUGCUACUAUUUUCAGUUGUAUAACACCUCCUGUAUGCAUGCAAUAAGGAGGAAAUGGAUCUCCCUCAUCUCAUCAUUCAAGCUUGAUAUGUACAUAUGCAUGUAUGAGAUAAGGAAAUCUUGGUUUUAGAAAUAUAUCUUCAGAAAAUAAUACCGCACACUAGCACUGGGCUUCUUCAGAAGACAUUUCUUAUGACAAAGUGGUAACAAACAUGACGCUGUCCAUGGAAUCACUGAAUCGUUGAGGCUGGAAGGGACCUCUGGAGAUCAUCUGCUGAAGCAGGGUCACCAAGAGCAGAUUGCCCAGGAUUGUGUCUGGUUGGGCUUAGAAUAUCUUCAAGGAUGGAGACUCCAUAGCCUCUUUGGGCAACCUGGUCCAAUGUUCAACUACCCU